GCGGGGCCGGGGUUUGUGUGUGCCCGGGCCGGGGGCGGCGGCCGGGCGGGCUGUGUGAGGGGUCGCAGCGCCGCUGAGCCUCUCCAGCUCCAUAGUCAUGGAAUCGGGUCAUACGGAGGUUGGAAGCGUGUCCAGGGGAGCGAGGAGCUGUGAAUCCUGUGUUGCGGCUGCCUGAGCUGGAAGGCUUUCAUGGGCGAGUACAGUGCUUGGAUCGCCAGAGCUGUCGCUUCAACAUCCUUCAGCAGCACUAAAGCAGCUUUGAAGAAAACCACUAGCCAAGAACUCGCUGGGAAAGGCCAAGUCAGGAGAAAAGGAAAGGCUGAUUGCAGGAGAGUGUGAUGUGUAUACAGGGAGAAGUAAGUCAGAAAAAGUUGAGCUGCUUGAACGUCCAAGUUAAACAAGGGACAGAGCGCAGCUGAACAACCCCGUUCCUCGACAUGCAUCGUCCUAACGCCUCCUCCUGACCCGACGCCACGGGAAAGGGCCUCCUCAGCCGUAUCUGUAGGAAUUUGCCAUGUGUUUAGGCAGGAAGGUGAAGUUGGUAGCUACGGCUCCCAGAAGCAGCUCACUAGAAGAAAGAAAAGAACAAAAACGUCGUUUCAGUCGGGACGGACAAAUGACAAGACUCUCCUUGAAGAGUUAAGUUAAGCGCACUCUUUAUUACAAACUUGGCUUUCUUAUAUAUCUAAUCUUUUGUUCACGCUCCGUUCACGCGUUCUUUCUACGCAUUCAAUUGGUUAGGUGACAUAGCACACGCGCUCGUAGCUACAAUACGAUUGGUUAUUGAAAUCCUGUUCACAUUGCUCAAAAUCUGGCUUUCUCACAGCCUAACUCUCGUUGUUCUCUCAAGCAAUCUUCUUCUUUCUCCUUUUUGUUACGUUGUCCUUAUACGACGCAACUCGCGGCCUUCUUAUGGGUACACUGCAAUCUCUGUCUCUUCUGUCAAGGGGUCUAUGGACCCGCUGUAUCCCCGAACAACUCCCCCUUUUUGUAUUUGUGCUACAAAUGCCGCCCCCAUCACCUGCUGCAGGGCCCUUUGCAGUAGGGAGAUGAGACAUGGCACCAUCAUUAACACAACUACAACUAUCAACAAUAUUAUUAAUCCUGCUUUGACUAUUGAAACCAGCCAUCCCGAGAGUCCCCAGUUUUGCAAAAGGUCAUCAAAAGAGAAGAACCCAUCCUCUUCCUUUAACUUUUUCUUUCGUUCGUUCCAUCAACUCUUGUAUGCGUGCAUGAAUAGAUCGAGAGUGGUCUGAUAAAUUCAUGCAGCACAUCCCAUCAAAAUCUUGGCAGCCAUGACUUUGAGCCAGCAACAAAAAAUCUAUUGCAGCUCGAUUCUGCAGUGUGGCAUGUCUAACUGAGUCUACAUCUAACAGUAAAGUACUCAAAACUAGAGAAGUAGCAUUAGAUUGCUCAGCCAGCCAACAUCCAAGCUUGUUAAGCGCAGCGAGCGCUUUAGCUGACACCACCCCGGGGGCUAAAAAGGAUGCUGCGAUUAUUUCUCCAGGGUUCCAAAAUUGUACAUUGUCAUUGCAGCUAUUUCUGAAUGCGUGAGCACUUUGUUUUGGUGCCUGUGGUGCUGCACAAUCAUAGAUAUA
Long non-coding RNA from Chroicocephalus ridibundus (black-headed gull), 1598 nucleotides. RefSeq lists it as uncharacterized. The record is from RefSeq and is a predicted model, not a curated record. Lineage: Eukaryota; Metazoa; Chordata; Aves; Charadriiformes; Laridae. The transcript has 3 exons.